RNAcentral lists this ribosomal RNA (210 nucleotides) under Olea europaea subsp. europaea. RNAcentral describes it as "Bacterial large subunit ribosomal RNA". It matches the Rfam family "Bacterial large subunit ribosomal RNA", at positions 1799 to 2004 of the family's 2925-position model. Lineage: Eukaryota; Viridiplantae; Streptophyta; Magnoliopsida; Lamiales; Oleaceae. The record is from Rfam by way of RNAcentral.
AUUGUUUACCAAAAAACACAGGUCCCUUCAAAAUCGUCAAACCAUGCAUUGGGACUGAUUCCUACCAAGUGCCUGAAGGUCAAACAAGUCGGUGACUUGAUAACAAGGGAGACAACAACCGAAACUUGGUAAAUGACGAUCGUAACUAUAACGAUCAUAAGAUAGCAAAAUUCCUUAUCAAGUAAAUUCCAGCUCACGAAAAAGGCAUAA